GGAAGUAAAAGUCGUAACAAGGUUUCCGUAGGUGAACCUGCGGAAGGAUCAUUAACGAUUGCUACACAUGCAAAGACAAAACGUAUGGAUUGUAGAUUCUGACUGGAUUGAACGCUAAAAACUCCUGACGAGUUCAGAAAGGAUAAUGCUUCUCUCUCUCGUGCGAACGAAGAGAGGGCCAUCGUGGUCGUUGGGCGUCAGCGCUACGAACGAUGUAAAACAAACAACCGAUGGCCUCUCAUACAUUAUAUUUUCUCGCCAUGGUAUACAAGCCUGGCAUCUGGUACGAGUCUCUCGCAGUCUCAAAACCAACCUUACAACUCUGAGCGGUGGAUCACUUGGCUUGUGGAUGCUAUGAAGACCAUAGCUAAGUGUGAGAAUGGCAGCGAGCCGUCGCUAUAUGCGCUGUCCUCUUCUUAUCACAUGUCGAAUGCAUAUUGCGCCCCACCCAGUGGUCGGCUAAACAACCUGCAGACAAAAGCCUGGGAGUUGGAACAAAGGCGAGUGUGUGGCCCUCGAGCAACGGCGGGGGAGCCAGGAGCACAUGAGCGUGCGGACCAACUACUCGUGAGUAGUCAGGCUGAACCCUAUGGUGGGGCACUCCUAGUCGAGUGUGGUGGAUCGGACUCAUAUCUCUGUGUGUUGACGGAGUUUGAGUUACUUUGUUGCUGGUGGCUAUUUGGGUCGACAUCAGUCGUGCCCGUAAACAACUGCCUUGGCUCGUGCCUCUGUGCGUAUUACCUCUCGCAGGUGCGUACAUUGAAGGCCAAGCUGGCGAUCACUCUUGCGACCAGGGCACUACGGUUUUUUGCAUGGUUAAUUGCACCGUACAUUUUCUUGCCAUCGUAUUAAUGGCACGUACAUUUGCCUGGUUAAUGGCACCGUACACUUGUACACCGUAGUGCGCACAGGUCCAAAAGGAAAUGCUAAUACGAGAGUCGGGUUUCUGGUACUCUAGCCCGCUUCCUCACGGUUAGCGGUGUGGUGAUAUGAUAUCCCUGCGAAUACGCUUAUCUGGUAAAGGCUCGUCUAUCUCGAUGUAUUUGGGAAUGACAUAUGCCUCACCUCUUUCGUUCACACACAGGCUGGCAGACGAAUAAACGCCUGACGAGAUCAGGACGGAUUUUCUAACAGUGUGAAGGAAGUAACAGAUCGGCCUGCAGUAUCGCUCCACAUCGUGCUCGACCCGUGGGAAACGGUGUAGGAGAGAGAUCUGACUGCCACCACCUCGACUUAGGAGAGGUUACCCGCUGAACUUAAGCAUAUCAGUAAGCGGAGGAAAAGAAACCAAUCAGGGAUUCCCUUAGUAGGGGCGACCGAACAGGGAUGAGCCCAGCGCAGAACCUCCCGGGCCACCCGGCCUGCGGCGGAAUGUUGCGUUAAGGGAAAGGUCGUAGUCAAACCCCACAGCCACGCGAGCUCUAAGUAAGUCACGAAUUGGCUAUCCCAACUAACGGCGGGAAAAUCUCCACGGAGGGUGUAAGACCCGUGUGGGCGCGUGUAAAUGCUGUGUGGGCUCGGCCUCUUUUCCCUGAGAGUCGCGUUGCUUGAGCAUGCAGCGCUAAGCAGGUCGUAAACUCGAUCUAAGGCUAAAUAUUUCCACAAGACCGAUAGCGAACAAGUACCGUGAGGGAAAGUUGAAAAGCACUCUGAAGAGAGAGUCAAAAGACC
RNAcentral lists this ribosomal RNA (1671 nucleotides) under Niphargus spinulifemur. RNAcentral's name for it is "eukaryotic LSU rRNA". The stretch from base 1224 to 1671 matches the Rfam family "Eukaryotic large subunit ribosomal RNA", at positions 1 to 398 of the family's 3401-position model. The record is from RNAcentral. Lineage: Eukaryota; Metazoa; Arthropoda; Malacostraca; Amphipoda; Niphargidae.